AGUGAACGCUGGCGGUAGGCCUAACACAUGCAAGUCGAACGGCAGCACAGUAAGAGCUUGCUCUUACGGGUGGCGAGUGGCGGACGGGUGAGGAAUACAUCGGAAUCUACUUUUUCGAGGGGGAUAACGUAGGGAAACUUACGCUAAUACUGCAUACGACCUACGGGUGAAAGCAGGGGAUCUUCGGACCUUGCGCGAUUGAAUGAGCCGAUGUCGGAUUAGCUAGUUGGCGGGGUAAAGGCCCACCAAGGCGACGAUCCGUAGCUGGUCUGAGAGGAUGAUCAGCCACACUGGAACUGAGACACGGUCCAGACUCCUACGGGAGGCAGCAGUGGGGAAUAUUGGACAAUGGGCGCAAGCCUAACCCAGCCAUACCGCGUGGGUGAAGAAGGCCUUCGGGUUGUAAAGCCCUUUUGUUGGGAAAGAAAAGCAGCAGGUUAAUACCCCGCUGUUCUGACGGUACCCAAAGAAUAAGCACCGGCUAACUUCGU
Molecule: ribosomal RNA, 491 nt
Filed under: uncultured bacterium
Lineage: Bacteria
Description: partial 16S ribosomal RNA
Rfam family: Bacterial small subunit ribosomal RNA
Source: RNAcentral